CAUAAAACAGAGGCUUGGAAUAUCUAAUGGUAGUAGGAGGAGCUAUCCAGUUCUUGGUGGGAGGCUUCAUUUUGUAAAGUUUGAGACAAGCAAGAUUAACGAGUGUUUAGACUUCAUCCAUUCGAAGCAGCUACAUCGUGGUGCUUGCAAAGAUUUACCUCAUUGGCAUUCAGACUCAGCAAAUGAAAAUGCCGUCAUUAAGGCUACAGGUGGAGGGGCAUACAAGUUUGCAG
RNAcentral lists this unclassified non-coding RNA (233 nucleotides) under Hevea brasiliensis (rubber tree). Lineage: Eukaryota; Viridiplantae; Streptophyta; Magnoliopsida; Malpighiales; Euphorbiaceae. The record is from RNAcentral.